ACAACUGAAAAAAUUGCAUAUGUUAGCAUUGAACCAAUACAAAGAUUAUUAGCAUGGUCUCUGUACAAGGAUAGUAUGCAAAUGUAUGAAGUUUCCAUACCUUUA
Molecule: small nuclear RNA, 105 nt
Organism: Peromyscus californicus insignis
Lineage: Eukaryota; Metazoa; Chordata; Mammalia; Rodentia; Cricetidae
Source: RefSeq, a predicted model, not a curated record